This 730-nucleotide ribosomal RNA is filed under the name uncultured bacterium. RNAcentral describes it as "bacterial SSU rRNA". It matches the Rfam family "Bacterial small subunit ribosomal RNA", at positions 771 to 1501 of the family's 1533-position model. The record is from RNAcentral.
AACAGGAUUAGAUACCCUGGUAGUCCACGCCGUAAACGAUGUCGACUUGGAGGUUGUGCCCUUGAGGCGUGGCUUCCGGAGCUAACGCGUUAAGUCGACCGCCUGGGGAGUACGGCCGCAAGGUUAAAACUCAAAUGAAUUGACGGGGGCCCGCACAAGCGGUGGAGCAUGUGGUUUAAUUCGAUGCAACGCGAAGAACCUUACCUACUCUUGACAUCCAGAGAACUUAGCAGAGAUGGUUUGGUGCCUUCGGGAACUCUGAGACAGGUGCUGCAUGGCUGUCGUCAGCUCGUGUUGUGAAAUGUUGGGUUAAGUCCCGCAACGAGCGCAACCCUUAUCCUUUGUUGCCAGCGGUUAGGCCGGGAACUCAAAGGAGACUGCCAGUGAUAAACUGGAGGAAGGUGGGGAUGACGUCAAGUCAUCAUGGCCCUUACGAGUAGGGCUACACACGUGCUACAAUGGCAUAUACAAAGAGAAGCGACCUCGCGAGAGCAAGCGGACCUCAUAAAGUAUGUCGUAGUCCGGAUUGGAGUCUGCAACUCGACUCCAUGAAGUCGGAAUCGCUAGUAAUCGUGGAUCAGAAUGCCACGGUGAAUACGUUCCCGGGCCUUGUACACACCGCCCGUCACACCAUGGGAGUGGGUUGCAAAAGAAGUAGGUAGCUUGACCUUCGGGAGGGCGCUUACCACUUUGUGAUUCAUGACUGGGGUGAAGUCGUAACAAGGUAACC